This is a long non-coding RNA of Paramormyrops kingsleyae, 1424 nucleotides long. RefSeq lists it as uncharacterized. The record is from RefSeq and is a predicted model, not a curated record. NCBI's taxonomy places the organism in Eukaryota, Metazoa, Chordata, Actinopteri, Osteoglossiformes, Mormyridae.
GUCCCUAAUCCCCCAUGGUAAAUACCACAAGCGUGAGAACUCUAUGCCAGCUGUAUACUGCAGUAGGAAACAUGAGUGCGUUAUAGUUGUUUUAAGGUGUUUACAUCAAAGCCUCUUCUGGCUUGCAGUUUGUACACCCGGGGUGUGUUACGCAAGCGAAGCAGCUGGAGGACUUUGUCUGAAAGUUAACAGAAGGAUCGGUGCUGUCGUUCAGGCCAGCUGGGAAGGCUAUCCCAGCACCAACGGUGUGGGAACGUGAGCUGCAGCGGUCUGCGGAGCAGCCUGACGAAUCGACGUUUGCGCACGUGCCGACAGAUCAACGAGCCUGGCGUUCAGAACAUCCUCGUCUAAGAGUAAAUGGUCUUGGCAGAGAUCGUGUCUCCCACGGUGGCCCACAGACUGGUAGAAGAUUACAGCUGCCUAACAUCCCUGUGAGUGAAAAUCAGUCACAAACGAAAUGCAUGCUGGAGGAAAAGGCCAGAGGAGAGUGUGGGCACAGCUAAUGAACCUCGGCUCUGACCUGGCUUCCCUUACCUGCCUAGGAGGAUUAUUACCUGGUGCCUCGAAGCUGGACUAGAAGAUAGCUUAAUUACAUCGAUCACAAUCAAGUGAUACGUGAAGUUAAUUGCCUUUUUCACAAAAAAAAAAACAACAAGCCACAAAGCACCGUGGGGCUUUCAGGGGGGGGGGGACUUUCACUGCCUAGACUUUUAUUGCACUGCCGUUUGUCAUAUUGCCAUCGAUAUUCUGGAAGACACUACCUACCCAGCCCGUCCAUAACCUUUUCACCCCCCUGCCCUCUGGAAGAUGCUGCAAGGCCAUAAAAUCUCACACCUCAAAAUUCAAAAACAGUUUCUACUCUAAAGCUGUCACUGAUCUGACCCCCUUCACUGUAACCCCCCUCCCCCAUAAACCCCUGACUGUCAGGCACAGAAUUGUCUGAUAUGUGAUUAUGUGUCAUGUUCACUACUAUGUGUUUCGUGCCAUACUGUGGGUUAGGUGCAAUACUAAGUCUAAUGAUUAAUACUACCUGUCAUGUGCAAACCAUUGUACCAUGUACAAAAACUAUAUUUAUUUACUUAUUUAAACUUUGAAACGCAUUAUUCUAUGUAGCAUAUUCCACUUCUUUGUAGCCUACCGCAUAUUUAAAUUUUAUUUUUAAAUUUCUUAGUCUUCGUAUUUGGUGUUUUUUUUUUUUUAGGUAUCAUCUGUUCCAGGUGAUGCACUGAAAAUGUCUUGUACUGAAAAUGUAAAAUGACCAUAAAGGCAUUCUAUUGUAUUCUAUUCUAUUCUAUUGCCACCCCCCACCCCUCCGUGCAUCUGUCCCUUUCCCUGCAACAAUGGCUUAAGAAUUUCACUGUUCCUCCCAACAUACGUGACAAUAAAACUUGAAGAGAUCCGGCCAGACACUCUCGAUCCCUGAC